This 17-nucleotide microRNA is filed under the name Macrophomina phaseolina MS6. RNAcentral's name for it is "miR-4492". Lineage: Eukaryota; Fungi; Ascomycota; Dothideomycetes; Botryosphaeriales; Botryosphaeriaceae. The record is from RNAcentral.
GCGCCUGGGCGCGCGCC